This 574-nucleotide ribosomal RNA is filed under the name bacterium tet-w-18. RNAcentral describes it as "bacterial SSU rRNA". It matches the Rfam family "Bacterial small subunit ribosomal RNA", at positions 49 to 621 of the family's 1533-position model. The record is from RNAcentral.
CUACACAUGCAGUCGAGCGGAUGANGGGAGCUUGCUCCUUGAUUCAGCGGCGGACGGGUGAGUAAUGCCUAGGAAUCUGCCUGGUAGUGGGGGACAACGUUUCGAAAGGAACGCUAAUACCGCAUACGUCCUACGGGAGAAAGCAGGGGACCUUCGGGCCUUGCGCUAUCAGAUGAGCCUAGGUCGGAUUAGCUAGUUGGUGGGGUAAUGGCUCACCAAGGCGACGAUCCGUAACUGGUCUGAGAGGAUGAUCAGUCACACUGGAACUGAGACACGGUCCAGACUCCUACGGGAGGCAGCAGUGGGGAAUAUUGGACAAUGGGCGAAAGCCUGAUCCAGCCAUGCCGCGUGUGUGAAGAAGGUCUUCGGAUUGUAAAGCACUUUAAGUUGGGAGGAAGGGCAGUAAGUUAAUACCUUGCUGUUUUGACGUUACCGACAGAAUAAGCACCGGCUAACUCUGUGCCAGCAGCCGCGGUAAUACAGAGGGUGCAAGCGUUAAUCGGAAUUACUGGGCGUAAAGCGCGCGUAGGUGGUUUGUUAAGUUGGAUGUGAAGCCCCGGGCUCACCUGGGACU